This 378-nucleotide ribosomal RNA is filed under the name uncultured bacterium. Its description in RNAcentral is "partial 16S ribosomal RNA". It matches the Rfam family "Bacterial small subunit ribosomal RNA", at positions 533 to 914 of the family's 1533-position model. The record is from RNAcentral.
GGCGAGCGUUUCCCGGAANGAUNGGGCGNAAAGGGUGCGNAGGNGGCCCGUUAAGUCUGGAGUCAAAGCCGGCAGCUCAACUGUCGUACGCUUUGGAAACNGGCGGGCUGGAGNGCAGAAGAGGGCGAUGGAACUCCAUGUGUAGCGGUAAAANGCGUAGAUANAUGGAAGAACACCAGUGGCGAAGGCGGUCGCCUGGUCUGCAACUGNCGCUGAAGCACGAAAGCGUGGGGAGCAAAUAGGAUUAGAUACCCUAGUAGUCCACGCCGUAAACGAUGAGAACUAAGUGUUUGGGGGAAUAACUCAGUGCUGCAGUUAACGCAAUAAGUUCUCCGCCUGGGGAGUACGUUCGCAAGAAUGAAACUCAAAGGAAUUGAC